UGGCUCAAUGGUAGAGCGCUUGCCUUACAUGCCUGAGGCCCUGGGUUCGAUUCCCCAG
Molecule: transfer RNA, 58 nt
Filed under: Dipodomys ordii (Ord's kangaroo rat)
Lineage: Eukaryota; Metazoa; Chordata; Mammalia; Rodentia; Heteromyidae
Rfam family: tRNA
About the family: Transfer RNA (tRNA) molecules are approximately 80 nucleotides in length. Their secondary structure includes four short double-helical elements and three loops (D, anti-codon, and T loops). Further hydrogen bonds mediate the characteristic L-shaped molecular structure. tRNAs have two regions of fundamental functional importance: the anti-codon, which is responsible for specific mRNA codon recognition, and the 3' end, to which the tRNAs corresponding amino acid is attached (by aminoacyl-tRNA synthetases). tRNAs cope with the degeneracy of the genetic code in two manners: having more than one tRNA (with a specific anti-codon) for a particular amino acid; and 'wobble' base-pairing, i.e. permitting non-standard base-pairing at the 3rd anti-codon position.
Source: Rfam by way of RNAcentral